This 841-nucleotide ribosomal RNA is filed under the name Helotiales sp. Its description in RNAcentral is "partial large subunit ribosomal RNA". It matches the Rfam family "Eukaryotic large subunit ribosomal RNA", at positions 71 to 929 of the family's 3401-position model. Lineage: Eukaryota; Fungi; Ascomycota; Leotiomycetes; Helotiales. The record is from RNAcentral.
GGGAUUACCUCAGUAACGGCGAGUGAAGCGGUAACAGCUCAAAUUUGAAAUCUGGCUCUUUCGGAGCCCGAGUUGUAAUUUGUAGACGCUGCUUUGGGUGUGGUGCCGGUCUAAGUUCCUUGGAACAGGACGUCAUAGAGGGUGAGAAUCCCGUAUGUGAUCGGUCGCCUUCGCCCGUGUAAAGCACGUUCGACGAGUCGAGUUGUUUGGGAAUGCAGCUCAAAAUGGGUGGUAAAUUUCAUCUAAAGCUAAAUAUUGGCCAGAGACCGAUAGCGCACAAGUAGAGUGAUCGAAAGAUGAAAAGCACUUUGGAAAGAGAGUUAAACAGUACGUGAAAUUGUUGAAAGGGAAGCGCUUGCAACCAGACUUGGGCGGUCACAAUCAUCCGGGGCUCGCCCCGGUGCACUUGUGGCGGCACAGGCCAGCAUCAGUUUGGGUGGUGGGAUAAAGGCCUUGGGAAUGUAGCUCCUCUCGGGGAGUGUUAUAGCCCUCGGUGCAAUGCCGCCUACCCGGACUGAGGACCGCGCUUCGGCUAGGAUGCUGGCGUAAUGGUUGUAAGCGACCCGUCUUGAAACACGGACCAAGGAGUCUAACAUCUAUGCGAGUGUUUGGGUGUCAAACCCAUACGCGUAAUGAAAGUGAACGGAGGUGAGAACCCGUUAGGGUGCAUCAUCGACCGAUCCUGAUGUCUUCGGAUGGAUUUGAGUAAGAGCAUAGCUGUUGGGACCCGAAAGAUGGUGAACUAUGCCUAAAUAGGGUGAAGCCAGAGGAAACUCUGGUGGAGGCUCGCAGCGGUUCUGACGUGCAAAUCGAUCGUCAAAUUUGGGUAUAGGGGCGAAAG